AUGCCUAAGAAACAACAACUCCAACAACAACAACAACAACAACAACAACAACAACAACAGCAGCAAAAACAAAAGCAUGACAAGAAUCAGCAAGAUGUCGAACUGAACCGGCUCGUCCGACACUCCCCUCUCCCUCCCCCUCACCACCCUCAGCUCCGGUCCCGCUCCCCGUCUCCAUCCUCCCCCAACGGUAGCGCCCUCGAACUGCCCAAUGUGCCAUCCUACCCACGCCUGCCGCCAAUUUUCAGCCCCCUAUCAAAACAGCCCAACUCACUGUCCCACCAGCUGUCAGGUCUCUCCAAUCCGGCAUUUUUCAUUGAAGAUGACUCAGACAUUUCCGCAAUAAGGCCCCCAGAGAGCUCUAGCCUCAGCCUUCGUCCAGCUGUCAAUGUAGAGGAUGUCGACUCAGAGCGUGAGAAGGGAGGGGCAGGAGGAGGAGGAGGAAGAAGAGGAGGAAGAGGGGAGGAACAGAGCAAUAUCCCCCAAAUUCUCACCACCCAGGACCCCAAACUUACCACUCUCACUGUCCCUGUGACCCCUUCCGUAGCUCGUCAAAGUAAAGGAGAUAAAGAGUAAGAAAACUGCAUGGAUUGUUUGAGUUGUAGUGCUUGUAAUUUCAUUAUUCUUUUUCUCCAUGUGAAACAACACACAUGCAUAGCUUUUAUUCAUUCAAAAAAAGAAAUGCAAAGUAACAUCCCUAGGAUAUGUUUUAGGGUACGUUCUCUGUUGGCAAGUGGAGUGUUUUUAUCCAAAAAUCAGAUCAAAUGAAAUAUUGUUAGCUGGCAAAAAAAAUAAAUAAAAUAAAAUUAGAAGAUUCUAGAUUACAAAAUACUUGCUCAUAAAAU
RNAcentral lists this long non-coding RNA (845 nucleotides) under Sander lucioperca (pikeperch). Its description in RNAcentral is "lncRNA (ENSSLUG00000009324.1)". The record is from RNAcentral. Lineage: Eukaryota; Metazoa; Chordata; Actinopteri; Perciformes; Percidae.